AACAAAAACAUGUCCUUUUGAUUAUAAUUUAAGGUCUAGCCUGCCCAAUGAUGUAGAGUUAAAUGGCCGCGGUAUUUUGACCGUGCAAAGGUAGCAUAAUCAUUAGUUUUUUAAUUGAAAGCUGGUAUGAAAGGUUGGAUGAGAAAAUUACUGUCUCUAUUUAAGUUUUAUAGAAUUUUAUUUUUAAGUUAAAAAGCUUAAAUUUUUAUUGAAGACGAGAAGACCCUAUAGAGUUUUAUACUUAUUUUAAAUUAAAAAUUUUAGUAUAAAGUUUUUUUAUUUUAGGGUAAGUAUUUGGUUGGGGUGAUUGAAAAAUUGAGUAAACUUUUUUUAAAAAAAAUCAUUGAUUUAUGAAUAUAUGAUCCUUAUUUAAAGAUUAAAAGAUUAAAUUACCUUAGGGAUAACAGCGUAAUUUUUUUUUAGAGUUCUAAUCGAAAAAAAAGGUUGCGACCUCGAUGUUGGAUUUAAA
This 469-nucleotide ribosomal RNA is filed under the name Conotrachelus sinuatocostatus. RNAcentral's name for it is "partial 16S ribosomal RNA". It matches the Rfam family "Bacterial large subunit ribosomal RNA", at positions 1806 to 2542 of the family's 2925-position model. The record is from RNAcentral. Lineage: Eukaryota; Metazoa; Arthropoda; Insecta; Coleoptera; Curculionidae.